CUACGGGACGCUCCAGUGAGGAAUAUUGCACAAUGGGGGGAACCCUGAUGCAGCAACGCCGCGUGGAGGAUGACGCAUUUCGGCGUGUAAACUCCUUUUAUAUGUCAAGAAAAUGACGGUAGCAUAUGAAUAAGCACCGGCUAACUCCGCGCCAGCAGCCGCGGUAAUACGGAGGGUGCAAGCGUUACUCGGAAUCACUGGGCGUAAAGGACGCGUAGGCGGGUUGGAAAGUCAGGUGUGAAAUCCUACAGCUUAACUGUAGAACUGCACUUGAAACUUCUAAUCUAGAGUAUGGGAGGGGGAGAUGGAAUUAGUGGUGUAGGGGUAAAAUCCGUAGAUAUCACUAGGAAUACCUAAAGCGAAGGCGAUCUCCUGGAACAUUACUGACGCUAAGGCGUGAAAGCGUGGGGAGCAAACAGGAUUAGAUACCCCUGUAGUC
This 439-nucleotide ribosomal RNA is filed under the name uncultured bacterium. RNAcentral describes it as "partial 16S ribosomal RNA". It matches the Rfam family "Bacterial small subunit ribosomal RNA", at positions 339 to 795 of the family's 1533-position model. The record is from RNAcentral.